Molecule: long non-coding RNA, 1062 nt
Organism: Monopterus albus (swamp eel)
Lineage: Eukaryota; Metazoa; Chordata; Actinopteri; Synbranchiformes; Synbranchidae
Exons: 7
Source: RefSeq, a predicted model, not a curated record
GUUGAUGACUAGUAAGGUUUAAUACAAGUAACAUGAAACUAAAAGAGUUCAACUUGACAAAAUGUGACAGCAACUAAAGAAAAAAAAUAACUAAACAGCACCAUCAGGAAGCAAUACAAUGGAACUGGAAAAACAUUUAACAAGACUAAUGAACCCAAGGGAACCAAAUAGCCAAAGGUAGUUAGCAAAGUCCCAAAACAAGGAGGAGAACCCAAGAACUUGCAGGAGAGACAAACGAAACAGAAAACAAUCACAACGAGACACCACUAAACAUGAAAUAGAGCUGGGACACAAGAAAGACCUGCUGCAGGUUGGAGUCCAAAACCCAUGCCCAGGUGGAGAGGCAGAACACAGGCCUGAUUAGAGGACAGAUGUGCCUGAGAGCUGCCGAACGCCCACGCACUGUCCUCAAAUCUAUAAGGUGAAGGCAGGACAGCAGAAGCAGUGUCUGGGGAGGGAUUUGGGGCCUUCGUCUCUGACUGGGACAAACUCACAGCCACGCCAGCUCUGAAGGAACUUGCGAGGGACGCUGCCAUCUUCACUCGAAGCAUCUAGCGGAAGAGAGGCCAGUACAGGCACAUCCUGAUGAGUGAAACUGGAAAAACCACUCUUGGUCAAGAAACUGCCUCUCCAUCCAAGGAUAGACUAUGCCAACAUGACAGGUGGACACGUGGCACCCUCGGGGUUUGAUGGCAUCACUGCUAUGCACAAAGUGUUUGACUGGGCUGGCACCCACAGGCAGGGAUGAAGCUGAUGCAUUCCUGUGUACGUGAGCCACAGAGAACAUCAGUGAGGACUUCAGAGCCACCCUCAAAUCAUUCCUCUACUGCACUGGAGAGCAAAGCAACAAGUUGGUGUCUUAAUGAAUUCACUGUGCAUGACUGGACAUGGAUAGGUCAUCGCCAUGACUGAAAGGUCACUGAUCAGGUCUAAAUAAUCAGUUUUUUCUCUCCUUGGGUUCAUGCUGGUGGUUUUGAGGAAACCAGCCAGAACAGGUCAACUUGGCCAUUAAUGACUGUACUGAUAAGAGAGUAAACAGCAUUAACAGGACUGGAGGAGAGG